CAGUCGCGUCUGCUAGAACUCAGCCUUGCUUUGGCUUGGUGCAUUUUCUAGUUGACGGGCCAGCAUCAGUUUUGACUGCUAGAAAAAGGUUAGAGAAAUGUGGCACCUUCGGGUGUGUUAUAGUCUCUGAUUGUAUAUAGUGGUUGGGACUGAGGAACUCAGCACGCCGCAAGGCCGGGUUUUUAACACGUACGUGCUUAGGAUGUUGGCAUAAUGGCUUUAAGCGACCCGUCUUAGAAACACGGACCAAGGA
This 253-nucleotide ribosomal RNA is filed under the name Diversispora epigaea. Lineage: Eukaryota; Fungi; Glomeromycota; Glomeromycetes; Diversisporales; Diversisporaceae. The record is from RNAcentral.